Molecule: transfer RNA, 89 nt
Filed under: Caudoviricetes sp.
Lineage: Duplodnaviria; Heunggongvirae; Uroviricota; Caudoviricetes
Description: tRNA-Ser
Rfam family: tRNA
About the family: Transfer RNA (tRNA) molecules are approximately 80 nucleotides in length. Their secondary structure includes four short double-helical elements and three loops (D, anti-codon, and T loops). Further hydrogen bonds mediate the characteristic L-shaped molecular structure. tRNAs have two regions of fundamental functional importance: the anti-codon, which is responsible for specific mRNA codon recognition, and the 3' end, to which the tRNAs corresponding amino acid is attached (by aminoacyl-tRNA synthetases). tRNAs cope with the degeneracy of the genetic code in two manners: having more than one tRNA (with a specific anti-codon) for a particular amino acid; and 'wobble' base-pairing, i.e. permitting non-standard base-pairing at the 3rd anti-codon position.
Source: RNAcentral
GGAAGGGUGGCAGAGUCAGGUUUAAUGCAACGGUCUUGAAAACCGUCGGGCGGUAACACGUCCCCAGGGUUCGAAUCCCUGUCCUUCCG